GCUAGGAUGUUGGUGUUGGGACAUCCACUAGAGAUCCUUUUUAUUUAUCAUCAACACCAGUAAAGAAACCUUCAAAGAGAUCUCGUCUCAACCUGGACGAGGAGCAGGAGCGGGAUUCAGAUCCAUUACAGGACACCUCUUCAGUGGCAUCUUCAAAAGGGCAGGACUCCACCUAUGACCAUUCAAACUCUUUGACAUUUCCUUUGACUCUGUCAAUAUGGUUCUAACUAUGACAAUAUGACACAUUUCGCCGGCAUGCCAGAUCCUUCAUUGAGCCUGCAGUCAUUCGCCACUGGAAGACACUGCAGGAUGUGAUGCUGCAGCGGCUCAGUCAGGAGGACAAAGUAAUCGUUGGUGGCGACAUGAGGGCAGACUCUCCAGGUUUUUAUAUUUCAUUGAAAUUAAAGACUCUACCUGGCUGCCAUGUAUUAUAAUGAAAACGUCAACCGACCACAAGCCAAAACAAACAAAGGGUAUGUUGCUGAGAUGAUGGACCUCAUUUUUGAAGAAAUCUUCAAGGAUCCGGCUCCAUACACAGAGGCAGUCCUGGCCAUCCCCAUUCCAGAGGACCUCACUGCACAGUUCAGCGGCCUGACACAGAGGAGG
Molecule: long non-coding RNA, 606 nt
Organism: Salarias fasciatus (jewelled blenny)
Lineage: Eukaryota; Metazoa; Chordata; Actinopteri; Blenniiformes; Blenniidae
Exons: 3
Source: RefSeq, a predicted model, not a curated record